This 320-nucleotide ribosomal RNA is filed under the name uncultured bacterium. RNAcentral describes it as "bacterial SSU rRNA". It matches the Rfam family "Bacterial small subunit ribosomal RNA", at positions 28 to 351 of the family's 1533-position model. The record is from RNAcentral.
GACGAACGCUGGCGGCGUGCUUAACACAUGCAAGUUGAACGGGCGAUAUUGGAAGCUUGCUGAAGAUAUCGUUAGUAGCGGACGGGUGAGUAAUGCAUGAGGACCUGCCUUUGGGAGGGGGACAACAGUUGGAAACGGCUGCUAAUACCCCGUAUGCCGAGAGGUGAAAGGUAUGGAGACAUACCGCCUGGAGAGGGACUCAUGUCCUAUCAGCUGGUUGGUGAGGUAACGGCUCACCAAGGCGACGACGGGUAGCCGGCCUGAGAGGGCGACCGGCCACACUGGAACUGAGAGACGGUCCAGACUCCUACGGGUGGCUG